This 91-nucleotide microRNA precursor is filed under the name Canis lupus familiaris (dog). RNAcentral's name for it is "mir-8799 microRNA precursor family". It matches the Rfam family "mir-8799 microRNA precursor family". Lineage: Eukaryota; Metazoa; Chordata; Mammalia; Carnivora; Canidae. The record is from Rfam by way of RNAcentral.
GGGGGGAGGCCACAUCCUGGGCUGUGUCCCCGGCGCCCUGUGCUCCUGGGCCUGUGCUGUUAGAUUCGUGCUCCCGGUGGCGCAGCCCCCU